Molecule: ribosomal RNA, 433 nt
Filed under: uncultured bacterium
Lineage: Bacteria
Description: partial 16S ribosomal RNA
Rfam family: Bacterial small subunit ribosomal RNA
Source: RNAcentral
AACGAACGCUGGCGGCAUGCCUAACACAUGCAAGUCGAACGAGACCUUCGGGUCUAUUGGCGCACGGGUGCGUAACGCGUGGGAACCUGCCCUUAGGUUCGGAAUACCUCCCCGAAAGGGGUGCUAAUACCGGUUAAUGUCUUCGGACCAAAGAUGUACUGCCUUUGGAUGGGCCCGCGUUGGUUUAGCUGGUUGGUAGGGUAAAAGCCUACCAAGGCGAGGAUCCUGAGCUGGUCGGAGAGGAUGAUUAGCCACACUGGGACUGAGACACGGCCCAGACUCGUACGGGAGGCAGCAGUGGGGAAUAUUGGAGGAUGGGCGAAAGCCUGAUCCAGCGAUGCCGCGUGAGUGAUGAAGGGCGUAGGGUUGUAAAGCUCUUUUAGCCGGGAUGAUAAUGACAGUACCGGGAGAAUAAGCUCCGGCUAACUCCGUG